CCAGCAGCCGCGGUAAUUCCAGCUCCAAUAGCGUAUAUUAAAGUUGUUGCAGUUAAAAAGCUCGUAGUUGAAUUUCGGGGUCAGCAGGUUGGUCGUGCCAAUGGUAUGAACUGGCCUUGCUGAUUCCUCCCUCUUGAUGAGCCGUAAUGCCAUUAAUUUGGUGUUGGGGGGAAUCAGGACUGUUACUUUGAAAAAAUUAGAGUGUUUAAAGCAGGCAAGCGCUUGAAUACAUUAGCAUGGAAUAAUGAAAUAGGACGUUUGAUUCUAUUUUGUUGGUUUCUAGGAUCGACGUAAUGAUUAAUAGGGAUAGUUGGGGGCAUUAGUAUUCAAUUGUCAGAGGUGAAAUUCUUGGAUUUAUUGAAGACUAACUACUGCGAAAGCAUUUGCCAAGGAUGUUUUCAUUAAUCAAGAACGAAAGUUAGGGGAUCGAAGACGAUCAGAUACCGUCGUAGUCUUAACCAUAAACUAUGCCGACUAGGGAUCGGAUGAUGUUAUUUUUAAUGACUC
This 507-nucleotide ribosomal RNA is filed under the name uncultured Glomus. Its description in RNAcentral is "SSU rRNA". It matches the Rfam family "Eukaryotic small subunit ribosomal RNA", at positions 567 to 1077 of the family's 1831-position model. The record is from RNAcentral. Lineage: Eukaryota; Fungi; Glomeromycota; Glomeromycetes; Glomerales; Glomeraceae.